This 447-nucleotide ribosomal RNA is filed under the name uncultured bacterium. RNAcentral's name for it is "bacterial SSU rRNA". It matches the Rfam family "Bacterial small subunit ribosomal RNA", at positions 29 to 521 of the family's 1533-position model. The record is from RNAcentral.
AACGAACGCUGGCGGCAGGCCUAACACAUGCAAGUCGAACGCCCCGCAAGGGGAGUGGCAGACGGGUGAGUAACACGUGGGAACCUUCCCUAUAGUAUGGAAUAGCCCAGGGAAACUUGGAGUAAUACCGUAUACGCCCGAAAGGGGAAAGAUUUAUCGCUAUAGGAUGGGCCCGCGUAGGAUUAGCUAGUUGGUGAGGUAAUGGCUCACCAAGGCGACGAUCCUUAGCUGGUUUGAGAGAACGACCAGCCACACUGGGACUGAGACACGGCCCAGACUCCUACGGGAGGCAGCAGUGGGGAAUAUUGGACAAUGGGCGCAAGCCUGAUCCAGCCAUGCCGCGUGAGUGAUGAAGGCCUUAGGGUUGUAAAGCUCUUUUGCCGGGGGACGAUAAUGACGGUACCCGGAGAAUAAGUCCCCGGCUAACUUCGUGCCAGCAGCCGCGGU